AAUAUUGCACAAUGGGGGAAACCCUGAUGCAGCGACGCCGCGUGAGCGAAGAAGGCCUUCGGGUCGUAAAGCUCUGUCCUUAGGGAAGAAACGUCCGGUGCCCUAGGACGACGCCACUGCUAACUACUUGCCAGCAGCCGCGGUAAUACGUAGGGGGCAAGCGUUGUCCGGAAUUAUUGGGCGUAAAGGGUGCGUAGGCGGCCUUUUAACUCAGAUGUGAAAGACCACGGCUUAACCGUGGGGUUGCAUUUGAAACUGGAGGGCUUGAGUAUCGGAGAGGGUAGUGGAAUUCCCAGUGUAGCGGUGGAAUGCGUAGAUAUUGGGAGGAACACCAGUGGCGAAGGCGACUACCUGGACGAAAACUGACGCUGAGGCACGAAAGCUAGGGGAGCAAACA
Molecule: ribosomal RNA, 397 nt
Filed under: uncultured bacterium
Lineage: Bacteria
Description: partial 16S ribosomal RNA
Rfam family: Bacterial small subunit ribosomal RNA
Source: RNAcentral